RNAcentral lists this ribosomal RNA (501 nucleotides) under uncultured bacterium. RNAcentral's name for it is "bacterial SSU rRNA". It matches the Rfam family "Bacterial small subunit ribosomal RNA", at positions 32 to 508 of the family's 1533-position model. The record is from RNAcentral.
AAUCAACGCUGGCGGCGUGCCUCAGACAUGCAAGUCGAACGCGAAAGCCCCUUUCGGGGGGCAAGUAGAGUGGCGCACGGGUGAGUAACACGUAGGUAAUCUACCUUUGGAUUGGGAAUAACCACCGGAAACGGUGGCUAAUACCGAAUAAUGCAGCGGCACCUAAUGGUGACAGUUGUUAAAGCGGGGGAUCGCAAGACCUCGCGUCUGAAGAGGAGCCUGCGGCAGAUUAGCUAGUUGGUAAGGUAACGGCUUACCAAGGCGAUGAUCUGUAGCCGGCCUGAGAGGGCGGUCGGCCACACUGACACUGACAUACGGGUCAGACUCCUACGGGAGGCAGCAGUCGGGAAUUUUGGGCAAUGGGCGCAAGCCUGACCCAGCAACGCCGCGUGAAGGAUGAAAUCCCUCGGGAUGUAAACUUCGCAAGAACGGGAAGAAUAAGCCGGUGUUAACAUCACCGGUGAUGACGGUACUGUUUGUAAGCUCCGGCUAACUCCGUGC